AAUUGUAGCAGUUCAUUUGAUCUGUUGCUAUAGUGACCAUUUUUUUGUGUGCUCACAGAACUUACAGAUACUUCAUUUGCCAUCGACCUUGGUUUCAAAAUAACCAAUGUAACCCAGGAGUCUCUAAGUAAUAGACUCACACUCACCAAUGAGACCGAGAUCCAGAUACAGGAUUCAAUUAACAAACUACUCCAUAAGGUUCUCAGUGAACCAGACGGCAAACAGUUUCAAUUUCCCAUCGCCGACUUCAUUGAUGAUGGCACUGAAAUCACGGCAAACGUGACGUAUGUAUACAAAGAGGAAGAUGUCAACCACCCUAGUAGUUUUCUACAGGAAGUCUUAAAAGUCUCAGGU
Salvelinus fontinalis (brook trout) is the source of this 354-nucleotide long non-coding RNA. RefSeq lists it as uncharacterized. Lineage: Eukaryota; Metazoa; Chordata; Actinopteri; Salmoniformes; Salmonidae. The transcript has 3 exons. The record is from RefSeq and is a predicted model, not a curated record.